CUUAUAAUCCUCCAAGACAGAUUCUGGAUGAGUUAAAGAUCAAAUUAUAUCAAACUAACUUGAAGACAAAUACAAGUCCUCUAAAAUAUUUAGAGAAAAGGAAAUAUCAUGGGAUAGAUAUAUGAUGUUAGAGUAGUGGGGAGUUACAAAACUGACUAUUUUUAUGCAUCGUGGUGCAGUGACACAUGUCUCAAAAUGCUUCUCUGGGUUUUGAUAUCAAGGUUCUAUAUCAGCCUCACAAACUGAUUUGGGUGUCUCCCCUUUCUUUCAAUUAUCUAGAAUAAAUUGGAUUAGAUUGGGAUUUCUUUAUCCUUGAAUCUAUAAGGAUAGCCAAGAAGCCAUUUGUAAUUCAGACUCCUUUUCCAUUUGCCCCUUAUAUUUUUUGUAGAGAGUUGGAGAAAUAGGAAGAUUUUAUAAUGUUACUGCAGGAAUGAUUGGUAUAAGCUGAAUUCUCUUUUCACCUGUUUUAGUGGAGAUGUCUCUCACUUGCUACCUCUUCGGCCCCACUCUGUGAAUCUCAGUCUAGCAACGGCGCUGCCAUUAUGGAGCUCAAAACAAGAUCUGGAAGCACUGAGAGAAAUCUCAAAAUAAUUCCACCACAGGACAGUGGUUUCCUGAACACGAACGAUAUCAAGGCACUACCCACUCAAGCUGAGGGUCUGUUUCUUGAUUCCUGAUAUUUCUACCUAACAGAAGUUCAAGGAAGUGUAGCCUUUCACAGCAGUGGAGACAAUAAAUGUUGUGUCCAAGGACA
Molecule: long non-coding RNA, 754 nt
Filed under: Oryctolagus cuniculus (rabbit)
Lineage: Eukaryota; Metazoa; Chordata; Mammalia; Lagomorpha; Leporidae
Description: lncRNA (ENSOCUG00000038587.1)
Source: RNAcentral